CCUACGGGUGGCAGCAGUAAGGAAUAUUGGACAAUGGGGGCAACCCUGAUCCAGCCAUGCCGCGUGAGUGAAGAAGGCCUUCGGGUUGUAAAGCUCUUUCAGGUGUGAAGACGUAACACCAGAAGAAGCUCCGGCUAACUCCGUGCCAGCAGCCGCGGUAAUACGGAGGGAGCGAGCGUUGUUCGGAAUCACUGGGCGUAAAGCGUACGUAGGCGGUCCUGCAAGUCAGGAGUGAAAGCCCAGGGCUUAACCCUGGAACUGCUCUUGAAACUGCAAGACUAGAGUCCCGGAGAGGUUGGGGGAAUUCCGAGUGUAGAGGUGAAAUUCGCAGAUAUUCGGAGGAACACCAGUGGCGAAAGCGGCCAACUGGACGGGACUGACGCUGAGGUACGAAAGCGUGGGGAGCAAACAGGAUUAGAUACCCCUGUAGUC
This 432-nucleotide ribosomal RNA is filed under the name uncultured bacterium. RNAcentral's name for it is "partial 16S ribosomal RNA". It matches the Rfam family "Bacterial small subunit ribosomal RNA", at positions 338 to 795 of the family's 1533-position model. The record is from RNAcentral.